GCAUAUAUCAGUUUACGACUGUAUGUUUAGACACGUCAUAGUCUACUUCACGUGAAAGACGUAUCUUUAUAAGUAUGACAACUAUACUCCAACAACCGGAUUAUCAUCUUUUGUUGAAUGAAUUGAACAAAGAUUAUGUCGGCGCCCAUCAAAUCAUACAUUUAUUGGAGAGUUAUAUGAGAGAGAAAAUACCGGAAAUAGAAAUAAUUUUAGAUAAAUGGCCCAUGUUUAAUGUGGUUGUAGCUAAACCGGUGGGUUUACAACAGCAUAUGUUGUAUCUGAAGAAUUAUUUGAUAUUUACGAAGAAUAAUAAAAACCUAGAACAAGUUUUAACAUCAGAGGGUACAGUAGAUUGGAGUACAAAUGGCAUGUUUAUAGUUCCACAAGAGAAAGAUUAUGUUAGUGUACAGAAAGUUAUAGAAGAUAAACAACAAUCUGAUUUUAGUAAUAACAUGUUUCAAUUAACAUGUUUUAGUUUAAACGCUAAAGAUCUUAUAAUUCACCCAGUUCCUGAUGGGAUGACUUUAAGACCAAUUCCACAUGACAUGGUAGACACGUUAAUGGCUAACUGGGAAUAUUCGGAUGAAGUUAAACCGAUCUAUUUUAAUUAUCUCAUAGAUAAUUAUAAAACUCUAGCUCUUUAUGACGUCGAUGAUUCAUUAAUAGGAUAUAUGCUAGAAACACAUUAUGGUGCCAUCGGUAUGCUUAGAAUUCUACCGGAGAAAAGAGGCAAAGGAUAUUCUAAAAUAAUACUUUCUAAUCUGUGUAAAACCAUAUUUGAAAAUGGCGCCGAUGUGUUGACCUCGGGUAUAGCACCGUCCAAUGUAAUAUCUAUAAAUUUACAUCUAAAAUUGGGAUUUAAAAAAACUAACUCUGUUGAAGGUUGGUUUAAAUUUUCUGGACAGAGUUCCACCACAUGAGUCCUUUUUUUAUAAACAAUAUUUUUAUUCAAUAUAUAUCUGAAUUAGGAUUGGGGAAGAGGCUAUGCCUUUGUGUAACCCCUCUUUCUGAUUUAGAUACGUGUACACAUUAUAAAUAUACAUUAUAUACCGGUACACAAUUAAACAAAUAUAUAAUGAAUGAUAUUUUUAUUAAUUUUGUAACAGGUAGAGAUCUAUUCUGGAAGUAGUGUUUGAUAUUGGUUGUUGGGUAUGGUAAGGCCCGUGCAGCGUUCGGGCAUAAUUACCCAUAGCACAUUGUCGGAGCAGAGCAGUACUGUAGGACGUAAACUCAUUUCAUUUCAUUACCUCCAAAUCUCACAAACCAGUUGGGAGAGUCGAGGAUAUACGAUGAUUUUACGGUGUGCGGGGGUAAAAAUAACUUAACAAUUGUUU
Patella vulgata (common limpet) is the source of this 1334-nucleotide long non-coding RNA. RefSeq lists it as uncharacterized. The record is from RefSeq and is a predicted model, not a curated record. Lineage: Eukaryota; Metazoa; Mollusca; Gastropoda; Patellidae. The transcript is spliced from 5 exons.